Molecule: ribosomal RNA, 486 nt
Filed under: uncultured bacterium
Lineage: Bacteria
Description: partial 16S ribosomal RNA
Rfam family: Bacterial small subunit ribosomal RNA
Source: RNAcentral
AUUGAACGCUGGCGGCAUGCUUUACACAUGCAAGUCGAGCGGCAGCGCGGGGGCAACCCUGGCGGCGAGCGGCGAACGGGUGAGUAAUGCAUCGGAACGUAUCCUCGAGUGGGGGAUAACCCAGCGAAAGUUGGGCUAAUACCGCAUGAGCUCUGAGGAGGAAAGCGGGGGACCUGCGGAGGCCUCGCGCUGGGGGGGCGGCCGAUGUCGGAUUAGCUAGUUGGUGGGGUAAAGGCUUACCAAGGCGACGAUCGGUAGCUGGUCUGAGAGGAUGAUCAGCCACACUGGGACUGAGACACGGCCCAGACUCCUACGGGAGGCAGCAGUGGGGAAUUUUGGACAAUGGGGGCAAGCCUGAUCCAGCCAUGCCGCGUGAGUGAAGAAGGUCUUCGGGUUGUAAAGCUCUUUCGGACGGAAGGAAAUGGGCGGGACUAAUACCCCUGUCUGAUGACGGUACCGUAAGAAGAAGCACCGGCUAACUACGUG